AGUGAACGCUGGCGGUAGGCCUAACACAUGCAAGUCGAACGGCAGCACAGUAAGAGCUUGCUCUUACGGGUGGCGAGUGGCGGACGGGUGAGGAAUACAUCGGAAUCUACUUUUUCGGGGGGGAUAACGUAGGGAAACUUACGCUAAUACCGCAUAUGACCUACGGGGGAAAGCAGGGGAUCUUCGGGCCUUGCGCGAUUGGAUGAGCCGAUGUCGGAUUAGCUAGUUGGCGGGGUAAAGGCCCACCAAGGCGACGAUCCGUGGCUGGUCUGAGAGGCUGGUCGGCCACACGGGAGCUGGGACACGGUCCAGACUCCUACGGGAGGCCGCAGUGGGGAAUAUUGGACAAUGGGCGCAAGCCUGGUCCAGCGAUACCGCGUGGGUGAAGAAGGCCUUCGGGUUGUAAAGCCCUUUUGUUGGGAAAGAAAAGCAGCAGGUUAAUACCCCGCUGUUCUGACGGUACCCAAUGAAUAAGCACCGGCUAACUUCGUG
RNAcentral lists this ribosomal RNA (492 nucleotides) under uncultured bacterium. RNAcentral's name for it is "partial 16S ribosomal RNA". It matches the Rfam family "Bacterial small subunit ribosomal RNA", at positions 29 to 507 of the family's 1533-position model. The record is from RNAcentral.